GCCUACGGGGGGCAGCAGUAGGGAAUCUUCUACAAUGGGCGAAAGCCUGAUGGAGCAACGCCGCGUGGGUGAAGAAGGUCUUCGGAUCGUAAAACCCUGUUGUUAGAGAAGAAAGUGCGUGAGAGUAACUGUUCACGUUUCGACGGUAUCUAACCAGAAAGCCACGGCUAACUACGUGCCAGCAGCCGCGGUAAUACGUAGGUGGCAAGCGUUAUCCGGAUUUAUUGGGCGUAAAGGGAACGCAGGCGGUCUUUUAAGUCUGAUGUGAAAGCCUUCGGCUUAACCGGCGUAGUGCAUUGGAAACU
RNAcentral lists this ribosomal RNA (305 nucleotides) under uncultured bacterium. RNAcentral describes it as "bacterial SSU rRNA". It matches the Rfam family "Bacterial small subunit ribosomal RNA", at positions 337 to 634 of the family's 1533-position model. The record is from RNAcentral.